Molecule: ribosomal RNA, 554 nt
Filed under: uncultured archaeon
Lineage: Archaea
Description: bacterial SSU rRNA
Rfam family: Archaeal small subunit ribosomal RNA
Source: RNAcentral
ACGGGGUGCAGCAGGCGCGAAAACUUCACAAUGUGCGAAAGCACGAUGAGGGAAUCCCAAGUGCUUGCACGUAAGUGCAAGCUGUUUCUAUGUCUAAAACACAUAGAGAGUAAGGGCUGGGUAAGACGGGUGCCAGCCGCCGCGGUAAUACCUGCAGCUCAAGUGGUGGCCGCUAUUAUUGGGCCUAAAACGUCCGUAGCCGGUUUAAUAAAUGCCUGGGUAAAUUGUAUAGCUUAACUAUACGAAUUCCGGGUAGACUGAUAAACUUGAGACCGGGGGAAGUUAGAGGUACUCCUGGGGUAGAGGUGAAAUUCUGUAAUCCUAGGGGGACCACCGGUGGCGAAGGCGUCUGACUAAAACGGGUCUGACGGUGAGGGACGAAGCCCUGGGGCGCAAACGGGAUUAGAUACCCCGGUAGUCCAGGGUGUAAACGCUGCUUGCUUGAUGUUAGUCGGGCUUCGAGCCCGAUUAGUGUCGGAGAGAAGUUGUUAAGCAAGCUGCCUGGGAAGUACGGCCGCAAGACUGAAACUUAAAGGAAUUGGCGGGGGAGCACA